UUUUGAUUGCGAGUGCUAUACAUGCAGUCGUACGCACUGGCCCAACUGAUUGAUGGUGCUUGCACCUGAUUGACCUUGGAUCACCAGUGAGUGGCGGACGGGUGAGUAACACGUAGGUAACCUGCCCCGGAGCGGGGGAUAACAUUUGGAAACAGAUGCUAAUACCGCAUAACAACAAAAGCCACAUGGCUUUUGUUUGAAAGAUGGCUUUGGCUAUCACUCUGGGAUGGACCUGCGGUGCAUUAGCUAGUUGGUAAGGUAACGGCUUACCAAGGCGAUGAUGCAUAGCCGAGUUGAGAGACUGAUCGGCCACAAUGGAACUGAGACACGGUCCAUACUCCUACGGGAGGCAGCAGUAGGGAAUCUUCCACAAUGGGCGCAAGCCUGAUGGAGCAACACCGCGUGAGUGAAGAAGGGUUUCGGCUCGUAAAGCUCUGUUGUUGGAGAAGAACGUGCGUGAGAGUAACUGUUCACGCAGUGACGGUAUCCAACCAGAAAGUCACGGCUAACUACGUGCCAGCAGCCGCGGUAAUACGUAGGUGGCAAGCGUUAUCCGGAUUUAUUGGGCGUAAAGCGAGCGCAGGCGGUUGCUUAGGUCUGAUGUGAAAGCCUUCGGCUUAACCGAAGAAGUGCAUCGGAAACCGGGCGACUUGAGUGCAGAAGAGGACAGUGGAACUCCAUGUGUAGCGGUGGAAUGCGUAGAUAUAUGGAAGAACACCAGUGGCGAAGGCGGCUGUCUGGUCUGCAACUGACGCUGAGGCUCGAAAGCAUGGGUAGCGAACAGGAUUAGAUACCCUGGUAGUCCAUGCCGUAAACGAUGAGUGCUAGGUGUUGGAGGGUUUCCGCCCUUCAGUGCCGGAGCUAACGCAUUAAGCACUCCGCCUGGGGAGUACGACCGCAAGGUUGAAACUCAAAGGAAUUGACGGGGGCUCGCACAAGCGGUGGAGCAUGUGGUUUAAUUCGAAGC
RNAcentral lists this ribosomal RNA (967 nucleotides) under Limosilactobacillus reuteri. RNAcentral's name for it is "bacterial SSU rRNA". It matches the Rfam family "Bacterial small subunit ribosomal RNA", at positions 31 to 957 of the family's 1533-position model. Lineage: Bacteria; Bacillati; Bacillota; Bacilli; Lactobacillales; Lactobacillaceae. The record is from RNAcentral.